AUAACCUUUAAUUUGAUCCAGAGAGAUCAGCAAGGAAGUUAUAUAAUACCAUAUUUACAGGAUUAUUAUGCCUUCCUUCAUGCGUGAAGAAGGCUUUUUUUAU
Non-coding RNA from Clostridium botulinum B, 103 nucleotides. The record is from Rfam. NCBI's taxonomy places the organism in Bacteria, Bacillati, Bacillota, Clostridia, Eubacteriales, Clostridiaceae.